Long non-coding RNA from Ctenopharyngodon idella (grass carp), 3605 nucleotides. RefSeq lists it as uncharacterized. The transcript is spliced from 2 exons. NCBI's taxonomy places the organism in Eukaryota, Metazoa, Chordata, Actinopteri, Cypriniformes, Xenocyprididae. The record is from RefSeq and is a predicted model, not a curated record.
UGUUCUGGGAAAAGUUAAAAAACACUGUCGAAAACAGUGCUGUCUGGUGGUUAAUAAAAAAUAAAGCAGCCAAAAGCUUGUGGAAGAAGUUCCUUUGGAUGAAGCAGCCACCACACACUCCAUAGAUAUGAAAUAAUAUAGUUUAAUAUGAUGUAAUAGAAGUAUAAUGUAGACAUAUUAUUCCUAACAGAGUUGCAUAUGGCAAGUAUUUUACCUGAAACAAUUUGUAUUCUUCAUAUUACUUGUAUGACUAGUAAAGUAAAAUCUGGGGUUCAAACAUUUCGACACGCAAAGCGAAUCACGUGAUUGGACAGAAAGUGAGGCAAUAGCAUUGUUCGACUUGAUGCAGUGCUGCACAGACCGAUCGGCGGCUGACUUAAAGCAGUGCAUGCCGGUAAGAAAUUUUAUUCGACUUUAGACAGUGCCGACGCCAUGUGAUUGUGAUGUAUGGCAGUCGGAUGAGUCAGCCAGCGAAGCAUCUCAAGAACGGCUGCACGAGCUCUGAUGACAACACAGCUGUUUCACGAUUGGCCGGAUUCACCGCAUGACAACAAUCACUUCCUCCCCACCUGCAUGCGGCUACUCUCGCCGAUCGUUGGAGGUCAUCGAUGGAGGUCGUUUCCCCAUCAAGGCCACGGAGGUCAUUUCCUCUGUCAUGGCCAUGGAGGUCGUUCUCCUGUCACAGCCACAGAGAUCAUUUCCUCUAUCAUGGCCACAAAGGUCGUUCCCCCUGUCAUGGUCAUGGAUGUUGUUUCCCUGUAACGGCCAUGAAGGUCAUUUCCUCUGUCACUGCCAUGGAGGUAGUUCCCCCUGUCACAGUCAUGGAGGUCCUUCCCACUGUCACGGCCAUGGAGGUCGUUUCCUCUGUCACAGUCACGGAGAUUGUUGCCCCCGUCACGGCCACGAAUAUCGUUUCUCUGUCACUGCCAUGGAACUCCUUUCCUCUGUCACGGCCACGGUGGUCAUUCCCCUGUCAUGGCCAUGGAUGUCGUUCCCCUGCCACAGCCACAGAUGUCGUUACCCCUGUCCCCUGUCACAUUCAAGGAGGCCGUCCCUGAAGUUUCUGUCUGCCCUGUUAUUGCCAAGGAGGCCGUAGACUCUCUGUGCUCCCUGUCACGGCCAUAAUGGCCGUCUCUGGACUCUCUGGGCUCCCUGAUUUGGAUCCUUCAGCCCCACUGUGGUAUCCACCUGCUCCAUUUUGGCGGUUUUCUGGUCUGUCUUCUCUUCCUUGGUGGUCUCCAGCUCCGCCUGCUCCACCUCGAUGGUUUCCUGGUCUGUCCUCUCCAUCUUAGUGGUGUACAGCUCUGCCUGCUCCACGUAGGUGGUCUCCUGUUCCACCUUGGUGGUUUCCUGCUCUGUCUGCUCCACUUUGGUGGUCUCCAGCUCCGCCUGCUUAACCUUGGUGGUCUCCAGCUCCUCCUUGGCCCCCUGCUCUGCCCUGGCUUGCUGCUUAGUUUCUAAAGUCAACGCUUUGUUUCCAUGGUUAUUGAUUACGCACACCUGUUCCUUGUUAGACCCUUGUUAUCCUGUGUAUAUAUAUCCCUGUGUUUCAUUUGUCUUUUACCAGUCGUUGUCGUUACAUGUAUUUUGUAAAACUCUUGCAUUUGUUUCCUGUUCUUGUUCUCUUGUUGGAUUAUUGGUAUCUCUUCCCCUGUUUGGAUUAUCUUUGUUAUCUUGAAUAAAUACUGCUGCAAUUAGAUCCCUGCCUCUCCUCUUUCCUCUUUCCUAUGUUACUGUAACAGCUAUUGCUCAGCCACCAAAUCAUAUACUUUUGCCUACUGGACCAAGUUUUUUUUUUUUUUUUUAACACACAAAAAGAUAAAAUACAUUUCAUAUAGAUAUUUUAUCCCAUUUUCUUUGUAAGUUUAAGAAAAACAUUGUUGUGAGAGAUGCUCUUUUUGUUCUUUGCAAUCUUUGGUUAUGUAAAAUAUGAUAAUGUUCAAAAUUAGGCAUAUUUCAUUUUUUUUUCCAACAAGAACAGGAGAGCUAUAUAAAGACCAUUAGUUUAAGUUCUGUUUUUAAGAUCUUUGUAUAAUACCAAGGUUGCAUGUUUAUUUGAGUAUUGACUUAUUUAAAUAUUUUGCAAAUUAAUUUAAUAUUUCUUUUAAAUCCCUAGCAGUUAUGUUGUUUAAAGAAUAAUAAAAGAAUAUCAGUGGUAUUUUCCUACCACUGACAAAAGUGCAUUCAUUUUUGACUGGUUUCAAGCUUAAUUUUGAUAAACAUGCUUUUGAGCUCCUAGUUGACAAUAAAUAUUUUUAUCUAUAAAUAAUGUGCAACAAAUGCAACUGAGUUAUGAGAGGAUAAUAAAGUGUUCCAGACUGGAAUUAAAAUGUAGAGUAUUUAGAAGAGAACAUUAGUAAACUAUGAAGGAAACUGUUAGCAGACAGACGGAGACAACACAGGUAACUUCCACACACAGUCAUUUAUUUACAGAUGCAGCAAGACAAUGGUAGCAGGUAAGGCAGUGCAUACAGAAAUAGUUUAAGAUAACUUGAACUGAACAGUCUUUCUUUUUAAUUGCAGAGCGAUCGCUAAACAAGGAAGACAGAAGAAGAUUGAAGAGGAUCUCAAGGCAGGUAAGUAGCACAGGUAGGUAGCCAGGUAAAUUAUAGCACAAUGUAACAACAACAAGACCAGACUCUGAGGGUAGGUAAGGUGAGUGUUUAUGUCUGUGUCUAAAUGAGGUGAUGAUCAGCAGCAGGUGUGGUGAUGGCUGACCGAGUGCAGGUAUAGACCAAAAGGGAUGCUGGGAAAUGUAGUUCUGUGGUGACUAGGCUCAAAGUCCCUUUCAAAGAAAGUCUGUUCACCUGGCGGUCAUAUUUGCAACACCUCCGGGCAGCUAUUUCGGGCAUCCAAGACUAAGUCCUAUCUAUUUGAAUGGGGGAAUCCUGAAAUCUCAAAAACUGCUUGGCAAACUCACAAUUAAAAAAAAAUCAAAUCAGCAACAAAAUCUGACAUGACCAUAAAUGUUGUUUCCUAUGCUCAAAUAGCAUUUUAAAAAAAAACGUAUUUUCCAGGCUAGACGAGCCAAUGCGCAUGUGCAGUCCUAUGCGCGAAUAUCAGGUUUCUAUGGGAAUAGGAGCUUCCAACGGAAGCUGCAGUGAUGCAAUGACUUUAUCAUUCAGCGAUUGGCUCUUUUACUUACUCUUACUCUUUUACUGCAAACCAUAUUGCGCUUUGCAGUUUCCCCCAUUCAUAACUAGUAGGAGUGAACCAUCCUUCUAUAUCUAUAGUCUUUUUUAGGCUAGUGACUGGGCUGGUGACUGGAGAAUGUGACAGAACCACAGGGAAGAGGGCAAAUACUUUGCUAUAAAAUGUGACUAUUAAUAUCUCUGUUUAAAUGGAAACUCUUCAGUGAUCAGUUUGUAAGAAGUUAUAGCUUAGGUGUUUUAUUUCAUAUUGGACUCAUCAAUGUUUAAAUAAAGACAACAGCACAAGGAUACAGUUUCAGUUCUGAGUUUAUUAUAUCAUUGAAAUCAUUAAUGUGCUUUGCAUAGUAGUUUGUUGUUUUACAAUGUUGUGGCUGUGAGAAAGUCGGUGCAUUGAAGUGGAGUACAAAUACUUCCCGUAAAAGAUUCAUUCAUAAACACUGAUUAAUUCAUGAA